This 77-nucleotide transfer RNA is filed under the name Burkholderia cenocepacia. RNAcentral describes it as "tRNA-Met". It matches the Rfam family "tRNA". From Rfam's summary of the family: Transfer RNA (tRNA) molecules are approximately 80 nucleotides in length. Their secondary structure includes four short double-helical elements and three loops (D, anti-codon, and T loops). Lineage: Bacteria; Pseudomonadati; Pseudomonadota; Betaproteobacteria; Burkholderiales; Burkholderiaceae. The record is from RNAcentral.
UGCGGCGUCGAGAAGUGGUAUCUCACUGGGCUCAUUACCCAGUUACAAUUCGGGCGGUUCGAUUCCCCCCGCCGCAA